This 272-nucleotide ribosomal RNA is filed under the name uncultured bacterium. RNAcentral's name for it is "partial 16S ribosomal RNA". It matches the Rfam family "Bacterial small subunit ribosomal RNA", at positions 40 to 339 of the family's 1533-position model. The record is from RNAcentral.
CGGUAUGCUUAACACAUGCAAGUCGAACGAAUUCCUUAGGGAAUUAGUGGCGGACGGGUGAGUAACACGUGAGAACCUACCUUCAGAAUGGGGAUAACAGUUGGAAACGGCUGCUAAUACCCGAUGUGCCGAGAGGUGAAAGAUUUAUCGUCUGAAGAAGGGCUCGCGGCUGAUUAGCUAGUUGGUAGGGUAAAGGCUUACCAAGGCAACGAUCAGUAACUGGUCUGAGAGGAUGAGCAGUCACACUGGAACUGAGAAACGGUCCAGACUCC